UGUCACAUGGGCUUAGUGGUUAGCACGUUCGCCUCACACCUCCAGGGUCGGGGGUUCGAUUCCCACUGAGGCCC
Ameiurus melas (black bullhead) is the source of this 74-nucleotide non-coding RNA. Lineage: Eukaryota; Metazoa; Chordata; Actinopteri; Siluriformes; Ictaluridae. The record is from the annotation of a GenBank genome assembly.